GAAUGGUCUAAGAUUCCUUUGCACUAUGGCUCCCCCUUCUGGUUCUGCAAUGAGUAGUUACAUUGUUCCUCAGAGUGCUGAAUUUUGAGAGCAAAGCAUUACAGAAAUGUAAAAAAAUCUUGAAGGCCAGGUGCGGUGUCUCAUGCCUGUAAUCCCAGCACUUUGGGAGGCUGAGAAAACAAGCUCAUAUUACCAAGUGUGAAAUUACAGCAAGUCUUACAGGCUGGGAACUGGAAAAGAGCUUCCCCAUCAUGGUGGAUUAUACAACCAGUGGUGGAGAGUAACUCCAAAAUAUAGCAUCUUUCUACUCAUCUUACUAAAGCUCAAAGAAGGUGAUCUACAAGGUACAUGCAAAGAUAAUGAAAACAAGGCUCAAAAUAAAAACAAGAAAUCUUUAUGAAAUUACACAAAGUGUAUGUGUUUGAACUUGGAUUUGCUUCCAACUCUGCUUGACUCUGAAAACCAUGCCCUUUCCUCUACAUGAUAUGUUCAUAUGCUCUACCCCACUUAUGGGUGGAAACUCCUCCGUCAAGCUUAUUUAAUCAAUGAAUGAAUGACUCUUCUAAAGGCAGAUACCAGCAGGUUUGGUGGUAGAGCCAGUCCUGCAAAUGUGCUCAAUGUCUUAAGCCACCUGACAGCCAGACUCCAUAUGAAAAGAUUUAACUUCUUAUUAAAAUACCUAUAAUAGUCCAGGUGCAGUGGCUCACACCUGUAAUCCCAGC
RNAcentral lists this long non-coding RNA (722 nucleotides) under Homo sapiens (human). Its description in RNAcentral is "HSALNT0388546". The record is from RNAcentral. Lineage: Eukaryota; Metazoa; Chordata; Mammalia; Primates; Hominidae.